GAUAAAACAUUAGAAAUAUGCAAGAUAUCAAAAGACUUUUCGACAUGCCCGUGACUAUUGAAUACAGUAUCACUUUCAAUCUAGAUGAUGUUUAAUGGCUAAAUCAUCUAUUCUUCUUGCAUAUUCUAAGACUGGAAGCUGUUUUCUUCCACCGUCAAGGAAUCCAGGAUCGUAGCUAUAUCGGUUCACAUGAUCCAUCAAGACCCAAACUGUUCAUAUUCAUUGGUACAUCCAAUUGCUUCCCACAAAGGAAGGAGCAAGAAAGACAAGAAGACGACAAUAAACCAAAAUCGAGGUUUUUCUAAUUAUUAUAGAUUUCUUUCUUUUCAUUUGCUGAAAGUUUUGUAUUUUGCCUUGGAAUACCUUGGAAUGCGAUGUUAAUGAGAACAUUUCAGACUACUGUAUGUUCAGAUAAGCACUGGAUAUUGAAGAAGAAACAUGAUAUGGAGGACUCCGGAAGGCAUGAAACCAUCUGUACUUUCUUACGGAUUUUGCUUUCUUUUUCCUCUCAUAUGUAGUCCAGAAGGUGUGGAGAGUUGAUGGGGGUGGAUCUGAUAAUGGUCGAUCAAAAGGUAACUAUUCUUACUGUUUACUUCGAUUUAACAUCUUCUGGAUUAUCCUACUUGUGUGUCCUCUUAUGUGGCCACAGUCAAUAAAGCAACAUAGCUUCUGUUCAGGCUCCGAGACACUGAAACCGUCGUCAUGUACCCUAUGGCAGUCACAACCCUUCUGUAUUCAGAUCCGUGAUCAAUUUGAUGGGUUAGUUCUUUCUUUUCUUUUGUGUGUAUUUACAUGCCGAUACUGAAGCUGGAUUUAAAUCCCUAGAUCAGAUUUUAAUUUC
This is a long non-coding RNA of Brassica napus (rape), 841 nucleotides long. RefSeq lists it as uncharacterized. The record is from RefSeq and is a predicted model, not a curated record. Lineage: Eukaryota; Viridiplantae; Streptophyta; Magnoliopsida; Brassicales; Brassicaceae. The transcript is spliced from 3 exons.